Molecule: transfer RNA, 68 nt
Filed under: Eocanthecona furcellata
Lineage: Eukaryota; Metazoa; Arthropoda; Insecta; Hemiptera; Pentatomidae
Description: tRNA-Met
Source: RNAcentral
AGAAAGGUAAGCUAAAUUAAGCUACCAGGUUCAUACCCUGUUUAUAGAGAUUAACCCUCUCCUUUCUA